This is an RNA transcript of Amborella trichopoda, 2776 nucleotides long. It is a transcript of the gene named DNA-directed RNA polymerase III subunit 2, with no coding region annotated. NCBI's taxonomy places the organism in Eukaryota, Viridiplantae, Streptophyta, Magnoliopsida, Amborellales, Amborellaceae. The record is from RefSeq and is a predicted model, not a curated record.
AGAACACGUAUAUGUUUAAAAGCUGAUGCACAAAGCUCUUUCCACUAUUACUCACUAUGAAACCCCAAAAACUAGUCACUCACAACUUCUGCAACACACUUUGCAGCAUUUCACAUCUUGUUUCUCUCGGCUUUUCACAUCCAAGAGAGGAACCUUUCGGUGGCACGAAUAUGCACAGCACACAGAGGCCACCAUAUUGGCCUCACAAACACAGAAAUGAGUAUUUCUUGACUAAAUCGACACUAACAGAAUUAGGAUUUUCCUCUCUUUUUUUAUUAUAAAAAAGUAGCUAUUCUUAAAGAAGAACGAAGAAGACCAUAAGCAGAUCGGCUCUCUGAUACCAUGUGAACAAUACUGUGAAUAGUGUCAUGAGCCGUAUCAUCAAACACUCUCAUGAACAGUACCAUGAAUAGUAAAAAGUGCCAAAACUAGAGAGAGGAAAAAGAAGAGGAAAAGAAGGCAAGAAGAAAAGAUGAAACAGAAGAGAGGAGUGAGUGAUACGAGAUUCAGUCGCCCAUGCCCCGCUAAUAUCUUUAUUUAUAAUGUUUAUUUAGGAUUUAUAAAGGAUAAAAAUACCCUCAAUGAAAAUAAAUAUCCUAAAAUAUUUAAAAAUGACAGAAAUACACCAAUUCACAAACAACGCUAUCUUUUAAUAGAUACCUCUGUGUUUCUAACCUGUCCAUUGCAUAUGCCUGUUUUCCUUUUUUCUUAUGCAGGUUUUGGUGAUUAAUUAUGCUUGAGUGUCAGAUAUUUAUUGUUUAUACUCUUUUCUACAAGAAAAUUUCAGUAUUGUGUUGUAGCUAGACACAUGGAUCAGUCGUUUUUGUAAUGUAGGUACUAGCUGUGCCAGCCAUUUACUUCCUGCUCUAUAUAUUUGUUGAUUAAAGGGAUGAAAGGGGUGGUCAUAAACCAAUUCCCUAUUGUUAACUGGUUUGGCAGUUCGAUACUAUUGCUUAAUUUGUUGUUCAGAUACUCUUCUCUUGGAAGGUGAAAAGAAAUAUGUCAGUUCUUGUUCAUGUUUAAGCAUUCCAUAAUAUAGGACCAGCUUAUUUCCUCUGGUUGUUGGUCUUCAUUUUACUUGAGUUCAUGUUAUAGUGUUUGUGGGUAUUAAAUGCGACAACAUUAUGGCAUUAACUGUGGUCAGUGAAUUGUGUUUUAUUCUUCUGCAUCUAGGAAAUUUCUUUCAUGUACAAUUUGUUGCAGCUAUGUCGGAUCGACACCUUACUGUACCUCUUGGUCUAUCCUCAGCGACCACUUCUGUCAACAAAAACAAUUGAGCUGAUCCACUAUGACAAGCUUGGGGCAGGGCAAAAUGCAACGGUUGCUGUGAUGAGCUACAGUGGCUAUGAAAUUGACGAUGCAAUUGUCAUGAAUAAGGCUUCACUAGAUCGUGGUUUUGGUUGUUGUAUUGUGAUGAAAGAAACUACUGUUCUUAGUCAAAAGUACAGCAAUAAAACCUCUGACAGAUCAGGCCUAGGAUGCUACCAACAGGGAAUGGUGAUUUUGUUCCCGAUCCUCGUUUUCAGAUACUAGAUAAUGAUGGACUUGCUUGUCCUGGUGAAAUAAUUGGACCUAAUGAUAUUUAUGUAAACAAGCAAAGUCCGGUAAAUACAACUCCCACUCCCAAUAGGGAAUUAUCUGACAGUCAAUAUAAGACCACACAUGUAACCUACAAAGGUCCCAAAGGGGAAACAGCUGUUGUUGAUAAGGUGCUACUAAUGUCAGAUACCAAUGAAAACUUAUGCAUCAAAUUUCUCUUUCGUCAUACCCGUAGGCCUGAGGUGGGUGAUAAAUUCAGUAGCAGGCAUGAGCAGAAAGAUGUUUGUGGUACCAUCGUACAGCAGGAAGACUUUCCGUUUUCUGAACAUGGGAUUUGCCCUGUCUUGAUUAUGAAUCCUCAUGGUUAUCCUAGGUCCUAGAUAAGAUGCAUGCUCGGCCUAGCGGGCCUAAGGUGUUGCUCACUAGACAACCAACCGAAGGACGGGCUUGGGAUGGAGGACUAAGGUUAUGGGAAAUGGAGCGCGACUGUUUGAUAGCUUACGGUGCAAGUAAUAUGAUCCUAGAACGCUUGAUGAUCUCCAGUGAUAAGUUUCAGGUUCAGCUAAGGUGAAUGCAGGUCCAUCGUCUCCAGCUUUAUUUUUUCACAGGUCUGCACAAAAUGUGGUUUGUUGGGAUAUUACCAUCAUACAUUGAAAAUGGCCUGGUGUAAUGUCUCUACUUUGACACUACCUUAGGCAUGCAAGCUUCUAAUCCAGGAAUUGCAAGCAAUGAAUAUCGUCCCUCGUCUCCAACUUUCAGAGGCAUGACAAGCUUAAUUGUGCAGUUAAGACUUAUCCAAAUUCUGUGACAUGCUAAUUGCAUAUAACUAAUAUGUGAAAUCCACACAACUGCUUGGAAAAUGUCCACGAUUCUGAAAAGUUAAAUAAAUCGUCUUCGUGAUGCAUUAUGGGGUGUUAACCAAGCGAUGGAAGGAACGUUGAAAAGUAGAUUUGUGGAGGCUGCAUCCAUCAAAAGUCUCUGAAGAUUUGAAGUCUCGGUGCUACCUCUCCUACAAUAGUAGGUUCUGUGUUUUGUGAAUUGAAAUCGAACCCCAAAUGCAAGAAGUUUCGGGUUGCCAGUUUUGAUUAAAACAAAUUUGGAUUGUCAGCUUAGUCAGGAAAAUCAGCUUCUUAUGGAUGACCUACUAUAUAGCAUAUUUAUUGGAAUUAUACAUAGGAGACUAUGACAUUGUGUUUCUACCUGUUAUGAAUACGAAAGAUAAGGUGGUUAGGCUAAA